This 67-nucleotide transfer RNA is filed under the name Speleomantes genei (Sardinian cave salamander). RNAcentral's name for it is "partial tRNA-Gln". Lineage: Eukaryota; Metazoa; Chordata; Amphibia; Caudata; Plethodontidae. The record is from RNAcentral.
AAAAAAAGGACUCGAACCCAUUCUUUGAAGAUCAAAACUUCAAGUGCAUCCAUUACACUACUUUUUA